CACGUAGGGGGCAAGCGUUGUUCGGAAUUAUUGGGCGUAAAGGGCAUGUAGGCGGUUCUGUAAGCCUGGUGUGAAAUCCUGCAGCUUAACUGUAGAAUUGCAUCGGGUACUGCAAGACUUGAAUCACAGAGGGGAAACUAGAAUUCCAGGUGUAGGGGUGGAAUCUGUAGAUAUCUGGAAGAAUACCGGUGGCGAAGGCGGGUUUCUAGCUGAUGAUUGACGCUGAGGUGCGAAAGUGCGGGGAGCAAACAGGAUUAGAUACCCUGGUAGUCCGCACUGUAAACGAUGUACACUAGGUGUCGGGGCAUGAGUCUCGGUGCCGAAGCUAACGUGAUAAGUGUACCGCCUGGGAAGUAUGCUCGCAAGGGUGAA
RNAcentral lists this ribosomal RNA (372 nucleotides) under uncultured bacterium. Its description in RNAcentral is "bacterial SSU rRNA". It matches the Rfam family "Bacterial small subunit ribosomal RNA", at positions 524 to 898 of the family's 1533-position model. The record is from RNAcentral.